Molecule: ribosomal RNA, 253 nt
Filed under: uncultured bacterium
Lineage: Bacteria
Description: partial 16S ribosomal RNA
Rfam family: Bacterial small subunit ribosomal RNA
Source: RNAcentral
UACGAAGGUGGCUAGCGUUGCUCGGAAUCACUGGGCGUAAAGCGCACGUAGGCGGAUUGCUAAGUCAGGGGGGAAAUCCUGGAGCUCGACUCCAGAACUGCCUUUGAUACUGGCGACCUUGAGUCCGGGAGAGGUGAGUGGAACUGCGAGUGUAGAGGUGAAAUUCGUAGAUAUUCGCAAGAACACCAGUGGCGAAGGCGGCUCACUGGCCCGGUACUGACGCUGAGGUGCGAAAGCGUGGGGAGCAAACAGG